Molecule: long non-coding RNA, 544 nt
Organism: Syzygium oleosum
Lineage: Eukaryota; Viridiplantae; Streptophyta; Magnoliopsida; Myrtales; Myrtaceae
Exons: 2
Source: RefSeq, a predicted model, not a curated record
CUCCCACGGCACGUGAGUUUUUUCCUGCAUGGCUUCAAAGAGAUUCAAGCUGUCGGUCUCCAAGUACAGUACUUCGUUUCUUCUCAAACUGAAGUGCUUCAACGGCUCCACCAGAGCCAGGGUUUCCACCUGGAUGGGCGAGGAAGCUCGGAUUUUUUUAGCAAAUCCGUCUAUCAGAACUCCUGAGGUAUCUCGGAGGACUCCUGCGAUCGCUCCCUCUGGACUACCAGCUACGAAGGAACCGUCGAUGUUUAUCUUAAAGGACUGAUUCUUCGGCGGACACCAAUUCAAGGGAUCAUUCCAAACCGAGCCGGUCCAAGGGCAGAGCAAAAACAGAUGUUCCACCGCUUUCGAUUUCGUGAUUACAAAAAGGACAAACUGGCUGAGGUAUGAUCUUGCGCUUGUAUAGGCUUUCUCUGGUAGGGAGUGCAUUUUGGCACAGGUUCCAGAGAAAAAUUCUAACUUUAGGGUGGGCCUUCAGAUGCCAGAUUUGGUACCACAGCUUACGAGAUGGCUGAUAUGAUGAUGAGGCUUGCAUUGUAUU